RNAcentral lists this ribosomal RNA (254 nucleotides) under uncultured bacterium. Its description in RNAcentral is "partial 16S ribosomal RNA". It matches the Rfam family "Bacterial small subunit ribosomal RNA", at positions 524 to 776 of the family's 1533-position model. The record is from RNAcentral.
UACGGGGGGAGCAAGCGUUGGUCGGAUUUACUGGGCGUAAAGGGCGCGUAGGCGGUCACUACAAGUCAGUUGUGAAAUCUCUGGGCUUAACUCAGAACGGUCAACUGAUACUGUCGGACUAGAGUGCAGAAGGGGCAACUGGAAUUCUCGGUGUAGAGGUGAAAUGCGUAGAUAUCGAGAGGAACACCUGCGGCGAAGGCGGGUUGCUGGGCUGACACUGACGCUGAGGCGCGAAAGCUAGGGGAGCGAACGGG